CGGAGAGGGAGCAUGAGAGACGGCUCCCUAUCCAAGGAAGGCGGCAGGCGCGUAAAUUACCCAAUCCUGUCACAGGGAGGUAGUGACAAUAAAUAACAAUGCCGGGCCAUCAUUGGUCUGGCAAUUGGAAUGAGAACAAUUUAAAUCCCUUAUCGAGGAUCAAUUGGAGGGCAAGUCUGGUGCCAGCAGCCGCGGUAAUUCCAGCUCCAAUAGCGUAUAUUAAAGUUGUUGCAGUUAAAAAGCUCGUAGUUGGAUUUGUGGCGUACGAUGUGUUCCGGGCACUUGUUGUCUGAGUAACCUGUUGUUGCCAUCCUUGGGUGGAACCUGUGUGGCAUUAGGUUGUCGUGCAGGGGAUGCCCAUCAUUUACUGUGAAAAAAUUAGAGUGUUCAAAGCAGGCUUAUGCCGUUGAAUAUAUUAGCAUGGAAUAAUGAGAUAGGACUUUUUUGCUAUUUUGUUGGUUUGCGCAAAGAGGUAAUGAUUAAUAGGGACAGUUGGGGGUAUUCGUAUUCCAUUGUCAGAGGUGAAAUUCUUGGAUUUUUGGAAGACGAACUACUGCGAAAGCAUUUACCAAGGAUGUUUUCAUUAAUCAAGAACGAAAGUUAGGGGAUCGAAGAUGAUUAGAUACCAUCGUAGUCUUAACCAUAAACUAUGCCGACAAGGGAUUGGUGGAGUCUCAUUAUGUCUCCAUCAGCACCUUAUGAGAAAUCACAGGUCUUUGGGUUCCGGGGGGAGUAUGGUCGCAAGACUGAAACUUAAAGAAAUUGACGGAAGGGCA
This 776-nucleotide ribosomal RNA is filed under the name uncultured organism. RNAcentral's name for it is "SSU rRNA". It matches the Rfam family "Eukaryotic small subunit ribosomal RNA", at positions 384 to 1166 of the family's 1831-position model. The record is from RNAcentral.